GUUCAGAUGUCUUAGCUGUUAGAGCGUCUGCUUAGCAUGCAUACCCUCUCAGGUUCAAAUCUCGAUCUGAGCC
This is a non-coding RNA of Podila verticillata NRRL 6337, 73 nucleotides long. NCBI's taxonomy places the organism in Eukaryota, Fungi, Mortierellomycota, Mortierellomycetes, Mortierellales, Mortierellaceae. The record is from the annotation of a GenBank genome assembly.